RNAcentral lists this ribosomal RNA (492 nucleotides) under uncultured bacterium. RNAcentral's name for it is "partial 16S ribosomal RNA". It matches the Rfam family "Bacterial small subunit ribosomal RNA", at positions 29 to 507 of the family's 1533-position model. The record is from RNAcentral.
AUUGAACGCUGGCGGCAUGCUUUACACAUGCAAGUCGAACGGUAACAGGCCUUCGGGUGCUGACGAGUGGCGAACGGGUGAGUAAUGCAUCGGAACGUGCCCAGAGGUGGGGGAUAACGCAGCGAAAGCUGUGCUAAUACCGCAUGUGAUCUGAGGAUGAAAGCGGGGGACCAGGCAGCAAUGUUUGGCCUCGCGCCUUUGGAGCGGCCGAUGUCAGAUUAGGUAGUUGGUGGGGUAAAGGCCUACCAAGCCGACGAUCUGUAGCUGGUCUGAGAGGACGACAGGCAACAGUGGGACGGAAACGCGCCCAGGCCCCCUGGGGGAGGCAGGGGGGGGGAAUUUGGGAAAGGGGGCGCAGGCCUGAUCCAGCAAGGGGGCGGGGGGAAAAAAGGCCUUGGGUUUGAAACCCGUUUUUGUGGGGAAGAAAAAGCCUCUGGCUAACACCGGGGGCGAAGGACGGUCCGGAAAAAAGAAGCACCGGCUACCUACGUG